This 423-nucleotide ribosomal RNA is filed under the name uncultured bacterium. Its description in RNAcentral is "bacterial SSU rRNA". It matches the Rfam family "Bacterial small subunit ribosomal RNA", at positions 355 to 775 of the family's 1533-position model. The record is from RNAcentral.
UGGGGAAUAUUGGUCAAUGGGCGAAAGCCUGAACCAGCAAUGCCGCGUGAGUGAUGAAGGCCUUCGGGUUGUAAAGCUCUGUCAGUGGGAACGAAGAAGCCGGUUAAUACCCGGUGGUGACGGUACCCACAAAGGAAGCACCGGCUAACUCUGUGCCAGCAGCCGCGGUAAUACAGAGGGUGCAAGCGUUGUUCGGAAUUACUGGGCGUAAAGCGCGUGUAGGCGGUCUAGUAAGUCGGUCGUGAAAUCCCUUGGCUUAACCAAGGAACUGCGUCCGAAACUGUUGGACUUGAGUGUCGGAGGGGAUGGCGGAAUUCCCGGUGUAGAGGUGAAAUUCGUAGAUAUCGGGAGGAACACCCGUGGCGAAGGCGGCCAUCUGGAAGAUUACUGACGCUGAGACGCGAAAGCGUGGGGAGCAAACAG